RNAcentral lists this ribosomal RNA (775 nucleotides) under uncultured Neocallimastigales. RNAcentral's name for it is "partial large subunit ribosomal RNA". It matches the Rfam family "Eukaryotic large subunit ribosomal RNA", at positions 22 to 616 of the family's 3401-position model. Lineage: Eukaryota; Fungi; Neocallimastigomycota; Neocallimastigomycetes; Neocallimastigales. The record is from RNAcentral.
GUACACGCUGUGACUAGCAUAUCAAUAAGCGGAGGAAAAGAAACUAACAAGGAUUCCCCUUAGUAACGGCGAGUGAAGCGGGAAGAGCUCAAAUUUGAAAUCUUAAAGGGUUUCCCUUUACGAAUCGUAGUUUAAAGAAGUGUUUUCUGUUAGAGUUUCGGUAAAAGUUCUUUGGAAUAGGACAUCAUAGAGGGUGAGAAUCCCGUAUUUGACCGUUAUUUCUAGCUUUGUGAUACACUUUCAAAGAGUCGGAUUGUUUGGGAAUGCAGUCCAAAAUGGGUGGUAAAUUUCAUCUAAAGCUAAAUAUUGGCGAGAGACCGAUAGCGAACAAGUACCGUGAGGGAAAGAAGAAAAGAACUUUGAAAAGAGAGUUAAACAGUACGUGAAAUUGUCAAAAGGGAAGCGUUUGACACCAGUGUUGUUUUUCUGAAAAUCAAUUAAAGAACUGUUUAUGCUAAGCUGUUUAGACUUUAUCAGCUAUCUGUUUAGUUUUAGGCUUUUCUUUAAUGCACUUUUCAGUUAACAAGUCAACAUCAAUUUCUUUUGCUGUAAAAAAGCUUGAGGAAGGUGGCUUGAGAUUCGUCUUAAGUGUUUAUAGCCUCUUGCCUAUGCAGUCGGAGAGAUUGAGGUCUGCAGCGUAGAUCCUUCGGGGCUAAAUGCAUUUGUGCUAAGUUAUAGCAUUUUAUAGACAACUUGUUGACUAUGAUUUGUCUUGUAGCUUACUCGCUUAUGUUAUUUUACCUACGCUUAGGAUGUUGAGCGCAUGUCUCUCUCU